RNAcentral lists this ribosomal RNA (497 nucleotides) under uncultured bacterium. RNAcentral describes it as "partial 16S ribosomal RNA". It matches the Rfam family "Bacterial small subunit ribosomal RNA", at positions 28 to 507 of the family's 1533-position model. The record is from RNAcentral.
GAUGAACGCUGGCGGCGUGCCUAAUACAUGCAAGUCGAGCGAACAGAUGAGGAGCUUUCUCCUCUGACGUUAGCGGCGGACGGGCGAGUAACACGUGGAUAACAUACUUUUAAGACUGGGAUAACUUCGGGAAACCGGAGCUAAUACCGGAGUAUAUAAUGAACCGCAUGGUUCAUUAGUGAAAGACGGUCUUGCUAUCACUUAUAUACGUAUCCGCGACGCAUUAGCUAGUUGGUAAGGUAACGGCAUACCAAGGCAACGAUGCGUAGCCGACCUGAGAGGGGGAUCCGCCACACUAGAACGGAGACACGGUCCAGACUCCUACGGGAGGCAGCAGUAGGGAAUCGUCCGCAAUGGGCGAAAGCCUGACGGAGCAACGCCGCGUGGGUGAUAAAGAUCUUCGGAUCGUAAAUCUCUGUUGUUAGGGAAGAACAAAUAUGUAAGUAACUAUGAACGUCUUGACAGUACCUAAUCAGAAAGCAACGGCUAACUACGUG